Cyprinus carpio carpio is the source of this 998-nucleotide long non-coding RNA. The record is from Ensembl. Lineage: Eukaryota; Metazoa; Chordata; Actinopteri; Cypriniformes; Cyprinidae.
AUGACACACUUCCUGCUGCCAGUUGGUGGCGCUAUAACUUUUACUCCUAAUAGUCACAUAUAUGCGAUCGGCAUCAUACAACGAACAAAUUGAUGAAGUUUAAUUAAAAUCAGGAAAUGUAUGUGGAUGUUAUUAGACACCUCCUGUUUCUCAUUUCUCGCCAUAAUUUCAACGCCUCGCCACGAGCAAACCGUUCGAGAUAUCAAAAAUCCCCUGGCAAUUUUGCAUCCCCAAUGUCUUGGGAUCAUGUUGACCAAGUUUGGUGGCAAUCGGGUAAAAAACCUAUGACAAGUAUAUCAAAUUCCAGAGCAUGCGCUUUUUACAUAGCUCUAAAUAGCUGACUUCCUGUUGGGUGGAGCCUAUGACAUGCAAUACGAAAGUUGUUCGGCACAAUGCGAUCUAUAUGUGUACUGAGUUUCAUAUGAAUACGUGCAAGUAUGUUUGAACUAUACAUCAACAAUUCUGACUGUGUUCCAGGGGGCGCCGUAGAGCCCCUGUGCCACGCCCGGGUCUCAGCCUCUGCAGCCUCCUAAUGGCCACAGAUUCUAAGGUGUGUGCAAAUUUUCAAGAGUUUUUGAGCAUGUUAAGGGCCCCAAAAGCCCCCACAACUUUGACGAAAAAUAAGAAUACUAAACCCUAAAUAGCCAACUUCCUGUUGGGUGGAGCCUAUGACAUGCAGUACGAAAGUUGUUUGGCUUGAUGAGAUCUAUAUGUGUACCGAGUUUCAUACGUCUACGUGCAAGUAUGUAUGAUAUAUGGCCCUCCAUAUUCCAGGGGGCGCUGUAGAGCCCCUGUGCCACGCCCGUGUAUCAGUCUCUGCCCGGCCCUAAUGGCCGCAGGUUCCAAUGUGUGUGCCAAUUUUCAAGACUUUUUAAGCAUGUUAAGGGCCCCAAAAGCCCCCGAACCCUUGGAAAAAAAUUAGAGGAAUAAAGAAAGAAAAAAAAAAAAUAUAGCUGCAAGCAGCGAUGGCGGGCUCAAGCCAUCAGCGCAAACGCCAC